CAGUAGCCGCGGGAAUACGAAGGGUGCAAGCGUUACUCGGAAUUACUGGGCGUAAAGCGUGCGUAGGUGGUUGUUUAAGUCCGUUGUGAAAGCCCUGGGCUCAACCUGGGAAUUGCAGUGGAUACUGGGUCACUAGAGUGUGGUAGAGGAUAGUGGAAUUUCCGGUGUAGCAGUGAAAUGCGUAGAGAUCGGAAGGAACAUCUGUGGCGAAGGCGACUAUCUGGGCCAACACUGACACUGAGGCACGAAAGCGUGGGGAGCAAACAGGAUUAGAUACCCCCGUAGUUCCUGUCUCUUAUCC
Molecule: ribosomal RNA, 301 nt
Filed under: uncultured bacterium
Lineage: Bacteria
Description: partial 16S ribosomal RNA
Rfam family: Bacterial small subunit ribosomal RNA
Source: RNAcentral